GACGGACCGUACGAACGUUAUUCGGAAUUACUGGGCUUAAAGGGUGCGUAGGCGGCUCAGAAAGUUGAAUGUGAAAUCCCUCGGCUUAACCGGGGAACUGCAUCUGAUACUGGAUGGCUUGAGUUCGGGAGAGGGAUGCGGAAUUCCAGGUGUAGCGGUGAAAUGCGUAGAUAUCAGGAGGAAUACCGAUGGCGAAGGCAGGUCUCUGGGCUGACACUGACGCUCAUGCACGAAAGCGUGGGGAGCAAACAGG
Molecule: ribosomal RNA, 253 nt
Filed under: uncultured bacterium
Lineage: Bacteria
Description: partial 16S ribosomal RNA
Rfam family: Bacterial small subunit ribosomal RNA
Source: RNAcentral